Molecule: long non-coding RNA, 614 nt
Organism: Zea mays
Lineage: Eukaryota; Viridiplantae; Streptophyta; Magnoliopsida; Poales; Poaceae
Exons: 3
Source: RefSeq, a predicted model, not a curated record
UCUGAGACUGUGGAGGCAUUAGUUUGUACCAAAGACUGGAAUCUUGCAUCUAACAAAGAUCGCAAUGACAAGGUACCGUCAAUUGUUGAGGAGUUCAUGGCAGAUGAAAAUGAAUAUAGCUCGGCAAUUGAAGAGGGACAGAACCAAGCUGACAAUGAAGGAAAUGGUGAGGAUAGUGAGGAUGAGGGCAGCGAUAUGGAGUUAUGAUUUUUCUGCAGCUGUUCAUGGGAGUCUGUUUCACAAGUUUCAGUGCUCCGAAGCCUAAGAUGAUGCUUAAAUCUUGGUUUUCGACAUUUUGGCGCUAGCUGGUAGCUGCUACACUUAAUCCUUAAUGUAGUAAUGACAAUGUAGUUCUAGUUUGGAGAGGUAUGUACUAUUGUGACAUUUUGGCGCUAGCUGGUAGCUGCUACGACAUUUUGGCUGCUAGCUGGUAGCUGGUAGCUAGUUCUAUUGUGAUAUGUACGCAGUACAGUACUUAGCAUUUAGCAAUGCUGAUGGCUCACGCUCAUGACUGCUUGCCUAUUUACUUAGCUUUAUCUGUCUAUUAGCCUGAUCGGUUGUGACAUUUGAAUCUGGAUGCUAUAUAUGAAUGAAUGAUGUGUCUUUAUAUCCGA